This 480-nucleotide ribosomal RNA is filed under the name uncultured bacterium. RNAcentral describes it as "bacterial SSU rRNA". It matches the Rfam family "Bacterial small subunit ribosomal RNA", at positions 30 to 507 of the family's 1533-position model. The record is from RNAcentral.
AUUGAACGCUGGCGGCAUGCCUUACACAUGCAAGUCGAACGGUAACAGGUCUUCGGAUGCUGACGAGUGGCGAACGGGUGAGUAAUACAUCGGAACGUGCCCGAUCGUGGGGGAUAACGGAGCGAAAGCUUUGCUAAUACCGCAUACGAUCUACGGAUGAAAGCAGGGGACCGCAAGGCCUUGCGCGGACGGAGCGGCCGAUGGCAGAUUAGGUAGUUGGUGGGAUAAAAGCUUACCAAGCCGACGAUCUGUAGCUGGUCUGAGAGGACGACCAGCCACACUGGGACUGAGACACGGCCCAGACUCCUACGGGAGGCAGCAGUGGGGAAUUUUGGACAAUGGGCGAAAGCCUGAUCCAGCCAUGCCGCGUGCAGGAUGAAGGCCUUCGGGUUGUAAACUGCUUUUGUACGGAACGAAAGACUCCUUCUAAUAAAGGGGUCCAUGACGGUACCGUAAGAAUAAGCACCGGCUAACUACGUG